CCGAUGGUUAAGGAACUCGGCAAAUUGCCUCCGUAACUUCGGGAGAAGGAGGACCCCAGUAGCGUGAUGAGACUUGCUCUCUGAGCGUGAAGGGGUGGCACAAAAUUGAGGGAAGCGACUGUUUACCAAAAACACAGCAGCGUGCUAAGCCGUAAGGCGCUGUAUACGCUGUGACUCCUGCCCGGUGCUGGAAGGUUACGGGGAUGGGUUAGUCCUUCGGGACGAAGCUCUGAACCUAAGCCCCAGUAAACGGCGGCCGUAACUAUAACGGUCCUAAGGUAGCGAAAUUCCUUGUCGGGUAAGUUCCGACCUGCACGAAUGGAGUAACGACUUCCCUACUGUCUCAACCAUAGACCCAGCGAAAUUGAAGUACGAGUAAAGAUGCUCGUUAGCUGCAGAAGGACGGAAAGACCCCGUGGACCUUUACUAUAACUUGAUGUUGUGUUUUGUCAUAUGUUGUGUAGGAUAGGUGGGAGACUUGGAAGCAUGGACGCUAGUCUGUGUGGAGUCAUCGUUGAAAUACCACCCUGCAUAUGGUGAGGCUCUAACCUAGACCCGUUAUCCGGGUUGGGGACAGCGUCAGGCGGGUAGUUUAACUGGGGCGGUUGCCUCCUAAAGAGUAACGGAGGCGCCCAAAGGUUCCCUCAGCCUGGUUGGCAAUCAGGCGUUGAGUGCAAUGGCAAAAGGGAGCUUGACUGCGAGACCUACAAGUCGAGCAGGAGCGAAAGCUGGGCAUAGUGAUCCGGCGGUUGCGUGUGGAAGCGCCGUCGCUCAACGGAUAAAAGGUACCCCGGGGAUAACAGGCUAAUCUUGCCCAAGCGUCCAUAGCGACGGCAAGGUUUGGCACCUCGAUGUCGGCUCAUCGCAUCCUGGGGCUGAAGCAGGUCCCAAGGGUUGGGCUGUUCGCCCAUUAAAGCGGUACGCGAGCUGGGUUCAGAACGUCGUGAGACAGUUCGGUCCCUAUCCUCUGCAUCCGGAGGUGAAUUGAGGAAAGCUGUCCCUAGUACGAGAGGACCGGGACGGACGCAGCUCUCGUGUGCCAGUUGUCCUGCCAAGGGCAUGGCUGGUUAGCGACCUGCGGAAAGGAUAACCGCUGAAAGCAUCUAAGCGGGAAGCCUCUUCCAAGAUGAAUUCACCCACAGGGUUAACCUGGUAAGGCCCGUGGUAGACCACCACGUUGAUAGGCCGGAAGUGUAAGCGUGGCAACACGUUCAGCUGACCGGUACUAAUCGGCCGAGGGCUUGAGUC
Molecule: ribosomal RNA, 1248 nt
Filed under: metagenome
Description: bacterial LSU rRNA
Rfam family: Bacterial large subunit ribosomal RNA
Source: RNAcentral